UGUCUCCUGGGGUGUUCGCCAGUUCAAUAAUGUCCCUGGCCGAUGCUAUUAUUUUAGGGGUUUGAUUCCACUGCUAUUGCGCAUGCUUGACACGUAUCGAGAAGCCUACGGCAAUGAUGAUAGUCCCGCCCUGAACUUUCGGUUCAUAGGGCGACGCUGAACAGCGGCACAUUCGGGAGACAA
This 183-nucleotide non-coding RNA is filed under the name Alteromonadaceae bacterium M269. RNAcentral's name for it is "6S / SsrS RNA". It matches the Rfam family "6S / SsrS RNA". Rfam says of the family: E. coli 6S RNA was the first non coding RNA to be sequenced, but its function was unknown until recently. It consists of 184 nucleotides that fold into an extended hairpin structure with a large single-stranded internal bulge. The record is from Rfam by way of RNAcentral. Lineage: Bacteria; Pseudomonadati; Pseudomonadota; Gammaproteobacteria; Alteromonadales; Alteromonadaceae.